UCUCACACUAUCUUCCGACACCCAUCUAUAAGCCUUGCAAAGAACUUCAUCUUCCUCAUUGUCUCUGCCCAUUGACGUCGAACAGCACCGCAUUAGCGUCUACAACACCACUGGAGUUUCCCGUCGAGAUUCACGAAGAGGAGAGGGUCUACGUCUUGCAGUUGAUCUUCGGACACCUCCUGACUAGUAGCAACUAUGAUGAUACGGUGAAGAAGGCCAUCGGUGGACGCAAAGGCUACGGCACCAAGCUUACGAACAUCUUCUCCACCGAGUUCAUCAUCGAGACGGUGAACGAAAUGCGAUAAAAGAAGUAUAAGCAGGAUCCUAAAACAAAAAAGCCUCGUGUGAAGCUAUUUUGACAAAGCGACCGGAAAGAAAAAGGGAGACACACUUGUUACAUGUAUGAAGUGCAGGGUAAAUGGAAGAACGCGAAUAGAUGGAAUCCUUUAAAUGGGGAGCCAUUCAUUAGAGUUUGCGAAGUUGAUGAAAUAGGAAUUAAGCCAUUUGUGGAGAGCUUGUCCAAGUGCCCAAAACAUGGUCUUCACAAUCCAUUCAAGGCACCAGAGAUGUUUGUGCUUAUUACCAUUCUAUUUCUGUGUCAUCAUUUAUCUUUAGGCAUAAUUUGUUUCUUUAGAUUGCUCACAUGGUUUCAUGUAAUGGUAGAGAACAAGAAGAUUUUCAUUAACUUUUCCCUUUUGAAGAACUUGACAGUGAUAUUUUGCAACAAUAUCAAUUAGCGAAACUCUUCACCCUAA
Molecule: long non-coding RNA, 755 nt
Organism: Malus domestica (apple)
Lineage: Eukaryota; Viridiplantae; Streptophyta; Magnoliopsida; Rosales; Rosaceae
Source: RefSeq, a predicted model, not a curated record